This 326-nucleotide ribosomal RNA is filed under the name Levilactobacillus brevis. Its description in RNAcentral is "bacterial SSU rRNA". It matches the Rfam family "Bacterial small subunit ribosomal RNA", at positions 41 to 339 of the family's 1533-position model. Lineage: Bacteria; Bacillati; Bacillota; Bacilli; Lactobacillales; Lactobacillaceae. The record is from RNAcentral.
GGCAUGCCUAAUACAUGCAAGUCGAACGAGCUUCCGUUGAAUGACGUGCUUGCACUGAUUUCAACAAUGAAGCGAGUGGCGAACUGGUGAGUAACACGUGGGGAAUCUGCCCAGAAGCAGGGGAUAACACUUGGAAACAGGUGCUAAUACCGUAUAACAACAAAAUCCGCAUGGAUUUUGUUUGAAAGGUGGCUUCGGCUAUCACUUCUGGAUGAUCCCGCGGCGUAUUAGUUAGUUGGUGAGGUAAAGGCCCACCAAGACGAUGAUACGUAGCCGACCUGAGAGGGUAAUCGGCCACAUUGGGACUGAGACACGGCCCAAACUCC